RNAcentral lists this transfer RNA (72 nucleotides) under Pangasianodon gigas (Mekong giant catfish). RNAcentral's name for it is "tRNA-Glu". It matches the Rfam family "tRNA". From Rfam's summary of the family: Transfer RNA (tRNA) molecules are approximately 80 nucleotides in length. The record is from RNAcentral. Lineage: Eukaryota; Metazoa; Chordata; Actinopteri; Siluriformes; Pangasiidae.
UCCCUGGAGGACCAGUGGUUAGGCCUUGGCGUUCUCGCUGCCGCGGCCCGGGUUCAAUUCCCGGCCAGGGAA